RNAcentral lists this ribosomal RNA (504 nucleotides) under uncultured soil bacterium. RNAcentral's name for it is "bacterial SSU rRNA". It matches the Rfam family "Bacterial small subunit ribosomal RNA", at positions 352 to 856 of the family's 1533-position model. The record is from RNAcentral.
CAGUGGGGAAUCUUGCGCAAUGGGCGAAAGCCUGACGCAGCGACGCCGCGUGCGGGAGGACGGCCUUCGGGUCGUAAACCGCUGUUGCCCGGGACGAAACGCUCUUUGGAGGGCAUUGACGGUACCGGGUGAGGAAGCACCGGCUAACUCCGUGCCAGCAGCCGCGGUAAUACGGAGGGUGCGAGCGUUGUCCGGAAUCACUGGGCGUAAAGGGCGCGUAGGCGGCGCGGGAAGGCGGCGGUGAAAGUCCGGGGCUCAACCCCGGAUCGGCCGUGGCGACUCUCGCGCUGGAGCACAGUAGAGGCGGGUGGAAUUCCGGGUGUAGCGGUGGAAUGCGUAGAGAUCCGGAAGAACACCGGUGGCGAAGGCGGCCCGCUGGGCUGUGGCUGACGCUGAGGCGCGACAGCGUGGGGAGCAAACAGGAUUAGAUACCCUGGUAGUCCACGCCGUAAACGAUGGGCACUAGGUGCCUGGGGGAGCGACCCCCUGGGUGCCGGCGCUAAC